This 32-nucleotide non-coding RNA is filed under the name Homo sapiens (human). Lineage: Eukaryota; Metazoa; Chordata; Mammalia; Primates; Hominidae. The record is from RNAcentral.
UCCAGGCCCAGAACUUUCUCCAGUCAGCCUCC